CCUACGGGAGGCAGCAGUGAGGAAUAUUGGUCAAUGGACGAGAGUCUGAACCAGCCAAGUAGCGUGAAGGAUGACUGCCCUAUGGGUUGUAAACUUCUUUUGUAGAGGAAUAAAACGAGGCACGUGUGCCUUUUUGCAAGUACUUUAUGAAUAAGGAUCGGCUAACUCCGUGCCAGCAGCCGCGGUAAUACGGAGGAUCCGGGCGUUAUCCGGAUUUAUUGGGUUUAAAGGGAGCGUAGAUGGGUUGUUAAGUCAGUUGUGAAAGUUUGCGGCUCAACCGUAAAAUUGCAAUUGAUACUGGCAGGCUGGAGUACAGUUGAGGUAGGCGGAAUUCGUGGUGUAGCGGUGAAAUGCUUAGAUAUCACGAAGAACCCCGAUUGCGAAGGCAGCUUACUAAACUGUGACUGACAUUGAUGCUCGAAAGUGUGGGUAUCAAACAGGAUUAGAUACCCGAGUAGUC
RNAcentral lists this ribosomal RNA (460 nucleotides) under uncultured bacterium. RNAcentral describes it as "partial 16S ribosomal RNA". It matches the Rfam family "Bacterial small subunit ribosomal RNA", at positions 338 to 795 of the family's 1533-position model. The record is from RNAcentral.